Molecule: ribosomal RNA, 371 nt
Filed under: uncultured bacterium
Lineage: Bacteria
Description: bacterial SSU rRNA
Rfam family: Bacterial small subunit ribosomal RNA
Source: RNAcentral
GUAGGGUGCGAGCGUUGUCCGGAUUUAUUGGGCGUAAAGAGCUCGUAGGCGGCUCGUCGCGUCGGUUGUGAAAACUUCAGGCUUAACCUGGAGCUUGCAACCGAUACGGGCGGGCUAGAGUUCGGUAGGGGAGACUGGAAUUCCUGGUGUAGCGGUGAAAUGCGCAGAUAUCAGGAGGAACACCGGUGGCGAAGGCGGGUCUCUGGGCCGAUACUGACGCUGAGGAGCGAAAGCGUGGGGAGCGAACAGGAUUAGAUACCCUGGUAGUCCACGCUGUAAACGGUGGGUGCUAGGUGUGGGGACCUCUCCAGGUCUCCGUGCCGCAGCUAACGCAUUAAGCACCCCGCCUGGGGAGUACGGCCGCAAGGCUA